Molecule: ribosomal RNA, 460 nt
Filed under: uncultured bacterium
Lineage: Bacteria
Description: partial 16S ribosomal RNA
Rfam family: Bacterial small subunit ribosomal RNA
Source: RNAcentral
CCUACGGGUGGCAGCAGUGAGGAAUAUUGGUCAAUGGACGAGAGUCUGAACCAGCCAAGUAGCGUGAAGGAUGACUGCCCUAUGGGUUGUAAACUUCUUUUAUAUGGGAAUAAAAUGUUCCACGUGUGGGAUUUUGUAUGUACCAUAUGAAUAAGGAUCGGCUAACUCCGUGCCAGCAGCCGCGGUAAUACGGAGGAUCCGAGCGUUAUCCGGAUUUAUUGGGUUUAAAGGGAGCGUAGGUGGAUUGUUAAGGCAGUUGUGAAAGUUUGCGGCUCAACCGUGAAAUUGCAGUUGAAACUGGCAGUCUUGAGUACAGUAGAGGUGGGCGGAAUUCGUGGUGUAGCGGUGAAAUGCUUAGAUAUCACGAAGAACUCCGAUUGCGAAGGCAGUUCACUGGACUGCAACUGACACUGAGGCUCGAAAGUGUGGGUAUCAAACAGGAUUAGAUACCCUUGUAGUC